CCUACGGGUGGCUGCAGUGGGGAAUAUUGGACAAUGGGGGGAACCCUGAUCCAGCCAUGCCGCGUGUGUGAAGAAGGCCCUCGGGUUGUAAAGCACUUUCAGUGGGGAAGAACGCCUGGUGGUUAAUACCCAUCAGGAAAGACAUCACUCACAGAAGAAGCACCGGCUAACUCCGUGCCAGCAGCCGCGGUAAUACGGAGGGUGCGAGCGUUAAUCGGAAUUACUGGGCGUAAAGCGCGCGUAGGUGGCUUGAUAAGCCGGUUGUGAAAGCCCCGGGCUCAACCUGGGAACGGCAUCCGGAACUGUCAAGCUAGAGUGCAGGAGAGGAAGGUAGAAUUCCCGGUGUAGCGGUGAAAUGCGUAGAGAUCAGGAGGAAUACCAGUGGCGAAGGCGGCUUUCUGGACUGACACUGACACUGAGGUGCGAAAGCGUGGGUAGCAAACAGGAUUAGAUACCCGUGUAGUC
RNAcentral lists this ribosomal RNA (465 nucleotides) under Vreelandella stevensii. RNAcentral describes it as "partial 16S ribosomal RNA". It matches the Rfam family "Bacterial small subunit ribosomal RNA", at positions 338 to 795 of the family's 1533-position model. Lineage: Bacteria; Pseudomonadati; Pseudomonadota; Gammaproteobacteria; Oceanospirillales; Halomonadaceae. The record is from RNAcentral.